UGAAUCUAGAUAAUAUCAUAUGAGCCUCUUCAAAACAGCACAGUGUUCAACUGCCGAGAGAAUUGACUGCUGGACCGAACAAGAUUGUGUUCUGCAUGAUUAAGUGGCCUGAAACAAACCAGGAUAUUUUAGGAUCCCCAUAUGAAGUGUAUGAUGAAAGACUGGUUGGCCUGAGUGUGGAGGGCAAGAACAUAUUGGGACUACAGGAGGGUGUCAAUAUCACCAUGAACCUUACCAAGGAAAUAAAUGAAACUGAAGAACCCUCAUGUCAGUUCUUUAACUUCUCAACAAACAAUUUUAGUGAGGAUGGAUGCAUUACACUGUGGACAUGUGGCCAGAGUAAUGUCACCUGUUCCUGUGACCAUCUCACAUACUUUGC
Molecule: long non-coding RNA, 379 nt
Organism: Oreochromis niloticus (Nile tilapia)
Lineage: Eukaryota; Metazoa; Chordata; Actinopteri; Cichliformes; Cichlidae
Exons: 4
Source: RefSeq, a predicted model, not a curated record